UAUGCUAGACGGGCUCAAUUGGGUGAG
Molecule: small RNA, 27 nt
Filed under: Arabidopsis thaliana (thale cress)
Lineage: Eukaryota; Viridiplantae; Streptophyta; Magnoliopsida; Brassicales; Brassicaceae
Description: ATSL019660
Source: RNAcentral